GCUUGGGUGGCUCAGUCGGUUGAGUGUCUGACUUCGGCUCAGGUCAUGAUCUCACAGUUCGUGGGUUCGAGCCCCACAUCAGGCU
RNAcentral lists this transfer RNA (85 nucleotides) under Felis catus (domestic cat). It matches the Rfam family "tRNA". Rfam says of the family: Transfer RNA (tRNA) molecules are approximately 80 nucleotides in length. Lineage: Eukaryota; Metazoa; Chordata; Mammalia; Carnivora; Felidae. The record is from Rfam by way of RNAcentral.